AACGAACGCUGGCGGCAUGCCUAACACAUGCAAGUCGAACGAGACCUUCGGGUCUAGUUGCGCACGGGUGCGUAACGCGUGGGAACCUGCCCUUAGGUUCGGAAUAACUCCCCGACAGGGGUGCUAAUACCGGAUAAUGUCUUCUGACCAAAGAUUUAUCGCCUUUGUAUGGGCCCGCGUUGGAUUAGCUAGUGGGUAGGGUAAAAGCCUACCAAGGCUACGAUCCAUAGCUGGUCUGAGAGGAUGAUCAGCCACACUGGGACUGAGACACGGGCCAGAAUACUACGGGAGGGAGCAGUGGGGAAUAUUGGAAAAUGGGCGAAAGCCUGAACCAGCAAGGCCGCGUGAGUGAUGAAGGCCUUAGGGUUGUAAAGCUCUUUUACACGGGAUGAUAAUGACAGUACCGGGAGAAUAAGCACCGGCUAACUCCGUG
RNAcentral lists this ribosomal RNA (433 nucleotides) under uncultured bacterium. RNAcentral's name for it is "partial 16S ribosomal RNA". It matches the Rfam family "Bacterial small subunit ribosomal RNA", at positions 29 to 507 of the family's 1533-position model. The record is from RNAcentral.